RNAcentral lists this long non-coding RNA (205 nucleotides) under Elaeis guineensis (African oil palm). Its description in RNAcentral is "long non-coding RNA (EGUI_LNC038411)". Lineage: Eukaryota; Viridiplantae; Streptophyta; Magnoliopsida; Arecales; Arecaceae. The record is from RNAcentral.
UCCAUUUAUAUAUAUAUAUAUAUAGGAUAAGAAAACACAAUGAAUAUCAUACUAGCCACCUAGCUUAAAAUUGAAUUACAGAAUGACAUGAGUUCAAAGUAACUAGAUGAUAAAUUUCUUGGAGAAAUAAAUGAUGAUUCAAUCUUCAAAUUUCCUGGGAAUCCAGCCUGUAGACUGUCACAUUACAUAUUGAAACUAUGGUCGG